GAUGACCGCUGGCGGCGUUCCUAAUACAUGCAAGUCGAGCGAAGCGGGGACGGGUGAGGAACACGUGGAUAACCUCCUAUAAGACUGGGAUAACUUAGGGAAACCGGAGCUAAACAGGAAACUUAUCGUGGGAUCCGCGCUGCAUUAGCUAGUUGGUAAGGUAACGGCUUACCAAGGCAACGAUGCAUAGCCGACCUGACAGGGUGAUCGGCCAGACUGGAACUGAGACACGGUCCAGACGCCUACGGGAGGCAGCAGUAGGGAAUCUUCCGCAAUGGGCGAAAGCCUGACGGAGCAACGCCGCGUGAGUGAUGAAGGUCUUCGGAUCGUAAAACUCUGUUAUUAGGGAAGCGGUACCUAAUCAGAAAGCCACGGCUAACGACGUGCCAGCAGCCGCGGUAAUUUC
RNAcentral lists this ribosomal RNA (406 nucleotides) under uncultured bacterium. Its description in RNAcentral is "partial 16S ribosomal RNA". It matches the Rfam family "Bacterial small subunit ribosomal RNA", at positions 28 to 526 of the family's 1533-position model. The record is from RNAcentral.